Long non-coding RNA from Balaenoptera ricei (Rice's whale), 915 nucleotides. RefSeq lists it as uncharacterized. The transcript has 3 exons. The record is from RefSeq and is a predicted model, not a curated record. NCBI's taxonomy places the organism in Eukaryota, Metazoa, Chordata, Mammalia, Artiodactyla, Balaenopteridae.
CAGAGAAGGUGGGCUGGUCGCAGACACCUUGUUUUGGUUACUUGCUAUUCCUUCCCCCACACACCCUUUCAUUGUCCUGGUCCUUAACCUUUAACUCCUGUAAGAAGCUGGGUUUGCAGAUUUCUGAAGACAUUUUGCAGUGUGCAGACCUGUUUCACCUUUGUUCCCCAUCCUUGGGUCUGGAGAUAAAGGCGGGAAUACAGUACUCUAUGAAAGGAACAAUCAUAAACCUCAGGUGCCUCAGACUUCAAAGAAAUGGCAAACUAGGCAUCUCAUUUUAUACAUGGUCCUCUUUAAGUACACUUGUAUGUACAUAAAAUGAAAUUGUACUGAAGUAAAUCUUAUUGCUGAACGUUUGCUUUCCGGAAGAUACUUUGGUGUAAUAGUUCCUAAGAAAAUUUGUUUUUUUAAAGGACCAAAAGUGGGGUGAAUGUUUCAUGGGUAAAGACCUUUUUCGUAACGAGUGAAGGUGAAAUGAGCAGACUGUGCGACUCAGAUUCCAGCUGCGUCCCCAUCACUACCCUCGGGAGUGUGCCGGAAGGACCCCAGAGAGCUGGCCCACUGGGGGACUCUCUUUUCUGGUUGUUGGCUGAGUAUGUAAUGUCCACUCUGGGUCAUCUAAGGGCCGAGACCAAGUACUCUGUUCCUGCUGUGACCCGUGCUUCUGCUACCACGUGCUGCACAAGAGCUGGAAAGUAGGAACUGCAGCCCGGCAAGCCACGGACCCAGGCAAUCCUAAAACUGCAAAGUCACCUGUGUUGAUUCCAGCCAGCUUUUAGUAAGUAAAUCCGUGACUCUUGUAAGAAGAGAUUUCAGAAGAUGUGUACCUUCUAGAGAAUUCACAUUUAGUGAGGGGCGUGUGAAAAGGUGUACACAAUUUUAAUCUUUUUAUUUUACUAAUAGUGUAUCUUAAUG